Xyrichtys novacula (pearly razorfish) is the source of this 435-nucleotide non-coding RNA. Lineage: Eukaryota; Metazoa; Chordata; Actinopteri; Labriformes; Labridae. The record is from the annotation of a GenBank genome assembly.
CCCCAAGAUCAACAAUGAGACAAUACUCAAUCAAAUCCCACCAUGCCAAGGUAAAGUAAGUAGUUUGGUUUGUAGGCAUAUGAAGACAUCAGACAUCUAUGUCCCUGUACUUGUCCCUGUCCUCCUGUCGUCAAACAUUCUGGGUCGUUUCAAACACAAGCUGCUUUUUUUCCACAGCAAACUGGGAGCCAGUGUCCAGUCAUGUCCUGUUAACCGUGACACAAGGACCAUCACAGAGUCCUGACACCGCUUUAGACAUGGCCGCUCCGGCUGGUCAUGGGAAGACAGCUUGGCUCCUGUCGACACAACAGCGGGCUUUGUACAAAAAAACACGGAUCAGCUCUGAGGAACCUAUGGCAGUGAAUCGGCUCCUGUGUCCACUACAUAAGGGAUUGAUUCAGCGUGGGUAUCCUUUCAACAAAGCCUUUGACAGUG